UUUACAAUUAGCAGGCGGCUAUCGCUGGCGCCUGUUGAAAAAUCGCGUGGGACCGUUUAAAGUUGCUGGGCGUUGUGUUGUUGUUGUUGUUGCUGUUGCUGUUGUAGUUGCUGUUGUUCGUGUGGCAGCGGCUCCGACUCUGGCACCGCCUUCUGCUGCUGCUGCUGAGGCUGACAAAAGCGAUGACAAAUGGACAACGACGACGACGACAAAAAUGACGACGACGGCUGCAUUUUCAUCCAUUGAUCAACUGGUUGUUGCUUUUAUCCAGACAUUUGUCGGAAUUUGGCGGCGCCUCUGCGCUCCCACCUUCGUAAUAUGGUAUUAAGCAGCGAAUUCUUGAUUUUCCUUUAGUCCGGGCUUUAUAAUCAGAUUGAAGGCUACGUUGUCAUUUACGGUUAAAAAUAGAGCUAUUGGCUUUUAAUUGUAGAUCAUUGUAGUUUUGUAUUCUUAUGUUUUAUAUAUUUGUUUAGUUGUAUAUUUAUAAAUAUUUUGCUUCGCGUUUGGUGGAGUGUUUGUUGCUAUAUUUCUUUGUUACUUAUUUACAAUUAACUGUUACUGUUGCUUCAAGCU
Molecule: long non-coding RNA, 573 nt
Organism: Drosophila arizonae
Lineage: Eukaryota; Metazoa; Arthropoda; Insecta; Diptera; Drosophilidae
Source: RefSeq, a predicted model, not a curated record